CGACUCCCGCAACGCGUCAGACUGACCGUCGGAGGGUUCCUGGGUCUUCACUCGACAUCCCACAACCAAAUGCCGACGUAUGGCCGGUCGGCUCCCUCAAACGCCGUACGACUGCUGAGGGUCGCCGUCCUGACAAAGGCAUGUGGCAUAGUCGUCUUGGGACAUUGUCCUGCUAAGGACAUAAAUUAAUCCCAGCGAUUUGACAAUCCAUGACGACUUGACAGUCCGCGGCGACUCUGACAGCCUCUGGCGAUUUGACAACUCUCCUAGUUGUCUGCACCAUUAAUGACGGCACCACGCCACGCUCUACUAUAAAACGGGGAAGGCAACAGUGCUG
Molecule: long non-coding RNA, 337 nt
Filed under: Elaeis guineensis (African oil palm)
Lineage: Eukaryota; Viridiplantae; Streptophyta; Magnoliopsida; Arecales; Arecaceae
Description: long non-coding RNA (EGUI_LNC036153)
Source: RNAcentral